GGUUGCGUAGUGUAGCGGUUAUCACUCCAGAUUCUGAUGAAUAUUUCAAGCACGAAUCCGGAACUUCUGGCAACCCCGGUUCGAUUCCGGGCGCGACCU
Non-coding RNA from Favolaschia claudopus, 99 nucleotides. NCBI's taxonomy places the organism in Eukaryota, Fungi, Basidiomycota, Agaricomycetes, Agaricales, Mycenaceae. The record is from the annotation of a GenBank genome assembly.